AUGGUCACCCUUGGCCAUUCACCCCUGAUCCCGACUUCCCUUCCAUUCCUCAGAUGGGAGAAGGAAAUCAGUCCAACAGGCGCAUCUAAAGUGACAUGUCAUGCACCGCCCACUCGUCCUCAAGUUGCUCGUUGUGUCGUGUCGGCUUGCCAUCAACCACAGUUGUGGCUCAACCCCCACAAUGAGCUGGCUAAUUGGUUGCUGCUCCUGCGUGCUGCAAAAAAGCUAAAAAAAGUCACUUUUCUAGUUUCAAAAUUUGAGAUGAUGAUUCAGUUCAGAAAAAUGGAUAUUUGCCAAAAACAAUUAAGAAGUUCAGGUCAUCCCUACAACAGCGUCGAGCUCGCACUCCACGACCGCUGGCGCCCCCAACCUAACGCCGUUCGUGACCCUCCACUACACUCCUCUGCUGGAGGAGCAUGUCAAUUUGUGUGGAGCAUAACGGUUUGUUAG
This 450-nucleotide ribosomal RNA is filed under the name Triticum aestivum (bread wheat). RNAcentral's name for it is "partial small subunit ribosomal RNA". Lineage: Eukaryota; Viridiplantae; Streptophyta; Magnoliopsida; Poales; Poaceae. The record is from RNAcentral.